Molecule: non-coding RNA, 79 nt
Organism: Podarcis lilfordi (Lilford's wall lizard)
Lineage: Eukaryota; Metazoa; Chordata; Lepidosauria; Squamata; Lacertidae
Source: the annotation of a GenBank genome assembly
GGCAAUAGUUCUGCAUUGUCUGUGGUAGAACAUCUGCUUUGCAUGCAGAAGGUUUCAGGCUCGAAGCCUGACAUCUCCA